ACUCUUCAUAUAAUUAAUUAAAAUGCCUUUAUUUGUACGGAAUGUUCAAUGGAAAGUUUUUAAACAUGGUUUCCAUUGAACAUGCCAUACAAAUGAAGGCAUUUUAAUGAAUGAUAUGAAGAGUUCUGUGGUCCUCCUUACUUUUUGACAUACUGUAUAUAGUCCGGACUGAAACUAUUUUCAGGCGUCGUCUAAAAUGGCACCCUAUACCCUAUUUUUUUUUUUUUACCAGGGCCCAUAGUUAUAUGGUUAAAAGGCUCUGGUUAAUAGUAGUGCACUAAAUAGGGAAUAGGGAAUUUAGGACUCAUUUGAUUACAUGAUGAUGGCUAAUAAUUCCACUAUUAACAACAACAAACCAACAUGCUCCUCUGAGACCAAACCUUUCCUUGAGGUUUAGUUGAACAUAUUGGUACAUUAUGCAGACACGUAAAUACAAUGUGAUAUCAUACAAUAUAAACACAAUUCAAUUAUAAGAUCAGCCUAACUACAUGGACAGAUGUUUGGUGUCUUGUAGUAUUUCUUCAACUUAGAGAAAAUAAUCCUUUAUUGUUUAUUCAUAAAGAUCAUGAUCCCACCCUGGACCAGGAGGACCCAGUCCUUGUUCAGUUUGUGGAUGAGGAGGUUGGGCAGCGGCCCUGUCUGGCUUUAGUCCCUUGGUCUGGACCUCUGUGGGUUCCCAGCUCUCUGACUUAUUACCUUACCCUUGCUGGGAGGAUGUUAGUGAGAGAGCGGGCAGUGUUAAACACACAGAUUUUCAUGAUGGAUCAGCCUGUUCUCAUCUGUUUCACUCCUGUUGGGAGGAUGGUGUGGGAGGAACUGUCUUCUCAAACUGAACAGCCAAAUAGUGAAGACUCUGGUUUUCCCUAUGAGAAGAUGCAGCUGGUUGGGAACUGGGGUUCAUUUCAUUUCCAUACCUGGAUAAUCCGUUAUGGACGAGUGCAGCAAAAUGAAGAGGACAUGCAUCACCUGUGCAUUGUGAGGGGAGUGGAGAAACAGCUGUGGUGGAGCAGAGUCAUUCAGGAAAAAAUCCUGGACCCAUGGGUGAGAGAUUCUCAACUGAUCUUUCAUCUCAA
Salmo salar (Atlantic salmon) is the source of this 1073-nucleotide non-coding RNA. The record is from RefSeq and is a predicted model, not a curated record. Lineage: Eukaryota; Metazoa; Chordata; Actinopteri; Salmoniformes; Salmonidae.